Molecule: ribosomal RNA, 320 nt
Filed under: uncultured eukaryote
Lineage: Eukaryota
Description: partial 18S ribosomal RNA
Rfam family: Eukaryotic small subunit ribosomal RNA
Source: RNAcentral
CCCCUAGAUGUUCUGGGCCGCACGCGCGCUACACUGAACAGUUCAACAAGUCUUAACCUUGGCCGAUAGGUCUGGGUAAUCUUUGAACGCUGUUCGUGAUUGGGAUAGACCUUUGCAAUUAUGGGUCUUCAACGAGGAAUUCCUAGUAAACGCAAGUCAUCAGCUUGCAUUGAUUACGUCCCUGCCCUUUGUACACACCGCCCGUCGCACCUACCGAUUGAAUGGUCCGGUGAAAUCUCAGGACGGCGGCUUGGUCGCUUGCGUCCGACUGCUGAAACUUGAUUAAACCAUAUCAUUUAGAGGAAGGUGAGGUCGUAACA